RNAcentral lists this unclassified non-coding RNA (372 nucleotides) under Hevea brasiliensis (rubber tree). Lineage: Eukaryota; Viridiplantae; Streptophyta; Magnoliopsida; Malpighiales; Euphorbiaceae. The record is from RNAcentral.
AAAAGUUUUCCUGCACCCUUACAUUCAGAUUUAACAUGUUUCACUCCUAUUUCUUUUGCUUGUUCUUUUCUCAGUGCAUAAUAUUCUUCUUUUGUAACUACUUUUGUUCCAUAGGGAAUGCAUCCAAAUUUCUUCACUGAGAAUUUCCUAAAUGCACUUUUUGCACUUUUUUUGUUAAAACGGCUCUUUUACUAUUCUUGUGUUUAUACCGGAACUUUUAUCCCUGUAUAUAUUCAUGAGUCUUGACUUCUUUACCUUAAUAGAGUAAUAUGUUGCAAGUUUGUGAUGUUAUCUUUCAUUGUUGAUGCAACCAGCAUAGUUAGUUUCUCAGAGUUUACUACUUUUUGCUUGUAUCCUGGUUUUGAAGAAAAU